CACAGAAUGGCUGAGAUGGGAAUGGACCUCUGGAGUUCGACUAGUACAUCCCCCUCAAGCAGGUCCAGUGAAAGCAAACUGCAAAGGGAUGUGUCCAGUUGGGUUUCAAUUAUCUGGAUGGAUGGAGACUCCACAGUCUCUUAGGGAAUCCUGUAAGAAAUAUGGUCUCGGCUCCCAGAUGGGCAAGUACCCGCUUCACCAAGGGGGCACUGAACAGCUGCUGAAUGAACACAGAUGUUGAUCAACAGUGGCUGAACAUGAGACAGUGUGUGCCCAAGUGGCCAAGGAGGACAGUGUCAUCCAGGGCUGUACCAGCAAUAGUGUGGGCAGCAGGACCAGGGUAGGGAUUGUCCCCCUGAGCUGGGCACUGGAGAGGCUGCACCUUGAAUUCUGGGUUCAGUUUUGAGCCCCUCACAACAAGAAAGACAAUUGAGGGGCUGGAGGGUGUCCAGAGCAGGACAACAGAGCUGGGGAAGGGUCUGGAGCACAAGUCUGAUGAGAAGCAGCUGAGGGAG
This is a long non-coding RNA of Empidonax traillii (willow flycatcher), 515 nucleotides long. RefSeq lists it as uncharacterized. The transcript has 3 exons. The record is from RefSeq and is a predicted model, not a curated record. Lineage: Eukaryota; Metazoa; Chordata; Aves; Passeriformes; Tyrannidae.